RNAcentral lists this ribosomal RNA (422 nucleotides) under uncultured archaeon. RNAcentral's name for it is "partial 16S ribosomal RNA". It matches the Rfam family "Archaeal small subunit ribosomal RNA", at positions 323 to 746 of the family's 1478-position model. The record is from RNAcentral.
CUACGGGCGGCUGCAGGCGCGAAACCUUUACAAUGCACGUAAGUGUGAUAAGGGAAUCCUAAGUGCUCAUACUUUGUAUGGGCUUUUGCCAAGAGCAAAAAUCUUGGCGAAUAAGUGGUGGGUAAGACUGGUGCCAGCCGCCGCGGUAACACCAGCGCCACAAGUGGGGACCAUUUUUAUUUGGCCUAAAGCGUCCGUAGCUUGUUUGAACAGUCUUUUGUGAAAUUGUUAAGCUUAACUUAACAGUAUGCAAAAGAUACUAUCGAACUUGGAACUGGGAGGAGUUAGAAGUAUUCCAAGGGGAGCGGUAAAAUGCUAUAAUCCUUGGAGGACUGCCUGUGGCGAAAGCGUCUAACUAGAACAGAUUCGACGGUGAGGGACGAAAGCUGGGGGAGCGAUCCGGAUUAGAUACCCUCGUACUC